Molecule: ribosomal RNA, 254 nt
Filed under: uncultured bacterium
Lineage: Bacteria
Description: partial 16S ribosomal RNA
Rfam family: Bacterial small subunit ribosomal RNA
Source: RNAcentral
UACGAAGGGGGCUAGCGUUGCUCGGAAUCACUGGGCGUAAAGCGCACGUAGGCGGGCUCUUAAGUCGGUGGUGAAAUCCUGGAGCUCAACUCCAGAACUGCCUCCGAUACUGAGAGUCUUCGAGUCCGGGAGAGGUGAGUGGAACUGCGAGUGUAGAGGUGAAAUUCGUAGAUAUUCGCAAGAACACCAGUGGCGAAGGCGGCUCACUGGCCCGGUACUGACGCUGAGGUGCGAAAGCGUGGGGAGCGAACAGG